RNAcentral lists this ribosomal RNA (856 nucleotides) under uncultured beta proteobacterium. RNAcentral's name for it is "bacterial SSU rRNA". It matches the Rfam family "Bacterial small subunit ribosomal RNA", at positions 56 to 905 of the family's 1533-position model. The record is from RNAcentral. Lineage: Bacteria; Pseudomonadati; Pseudomonadota; Betaproteobacteria.
UGCAAGUCGAACGGCAGCACGAGAGCUUGCUCUUGGUGGCGAGUGGCGAACGGGUGAGUAAUAUAUCGGAACGUAUCCAUGAUGGGGGAUAACUAAUCGAAAGGUUGGCUAAUACCGCAUACGCCCUACGGGGGAAAGCAGGGGAUCUUCGGACCUUGCGUUAAUGGAGCGGCUGAUAUCUGAUUAGCUAGUAGGUGAGGUAAAGGCUCACCUAGGCUUCGAUCAGUAGCUGGUCUGAGAGGACGACCAGCCACACUGGAACUGAGACACGGUCCAGACUCCUACGGGAGGCAGCAGUGGGGAAUUUUGGACAAUGGGCGCAAGCCUGAUCCAGCCAUUCCGCGUGAGUGAAGAAGGCCUUCGGGUUGUAAAGCUCUUUCGCAAGGGAAGAAACGUUACAGUCUAAUAAACUGUGAUAAUGACGGUACCUUGAUAAGAAGCACCGGCUAACUACGUGCCAGCAGCCGCGGUAAUACGUAGGGUGCGAGCGUUAAUCGGAAUUACUGGGCGUAAAGCGUGCGCAGGCGGUUUUGUAAGUCAGAUGUGAAAUCCCCGAGCUCAACUUGGGAACUGCGUUUGAAACUACAAGGCUAGAGUAUGGUAGAGGGGGGUAGAAUUCCACGUGUAGCAGUGAAAUGCGUAGAGAUGUGGAGGAAUACCAAUGGCGAAGGCAGCCCCCUGGACUAAUACUGACGCUCAUGCACGAAAGCGUGGGGAGCAAACAGGAUUAGAUACCCUGGUAGUCCACGCCCUAAACGAUGUCUACUAGUUGUUGGGAGAGUAAAAUCUCUUAGUAACGCAGCUAACGCGUGAAGUAGACCGCCUGGGGAGUACGGUCGCAAGAUUAAAACUCAAA